Molecule: ribosomal RNA, 398 nt
Filed under: uncultured bacterium
Lineage: Bacteria
Description: partial 16S ribosomal RNA
Rfam family: Bacterial small subunit ribosomal RNA
Source: RNAcentral
CCUACGGGCGGCAGCAGUGGGGAAUAUUGCACAAUGGGGGGAACCCUGAUGCAGCGACGCCGCGUGGGUGAGGAAGGACUUCGGUAUGUAAAGCCCUAUCAGCAGGGAAGAAAAUGACGGUACCUGACUAAGAAGCCACGGCUACUACGUGCAAGCAGCCGCGGUAAUACGGAGGGGGCAAGCGGUAUCCGGAUUUACUGGGUGUAAAGGGAGCGUAGACGGCGUGCCAAGUCUGGUGGGAAAGGCCGGGGCUCAACCCCGGGACUGCCUUGGAAACUGGCAUGCUGGAGUGCCGGAGGGGCAAGCGGACUUCCUAGUGUAGCGGUGAAAUGCGUAGCUAUUAGGAGGAACACCGGUGGCGACGGCGGCUUGCUGUACGGUACCUGCCGUUGAGGCUC